This 185-nucleotide ribosomal RNA is filed under the name Salimicrobium album. RNAcentral's name for it is "partial 23S rRNA. Bacterial LSU". It matches the Rfam family "Bacterial large subunit ribosomal RNA", at positions 2730 to 2925 of the family's 2925-position model. Lineage: Bacteria; Bacillati; Bacillota; Bacilli; Caryophanales; Bacillaceae. The record is from RNAcentral.
CAGGAGCAUUGCUGGGUAGCUACGUGUGGACGGGAUAAGUGCUGAAAGCAUCUAAGCAUGAAGCCCCCCUUGAGAUGAGAUUUCCCUUUGUAGAGAUGCCUCUGAGACGAAGAGGUUGAUAGGUCCGGUGUGGAAGCGUGGCGACACGUGCAGCAGACGGAUACUAAUCCAUCGAGAUCUUCUCU